AAUAUUGGACAAUGGGGGGAACCCUGAUCCAGCCAUGCCGCGUGUGUGAAGAAGGCCUNUUGGUUNUNAAGCACUUUAAGCGAGGNAGAGGCUACCUAGAUUAAUACUUUAGGAUAGUGGACGUUACUCGCAGAAUAAGCACCGGCUAACUCUGUGCCAGCAGCCGCGGUAAUACAGAGGGUGCGAGCGUUAAUCGGAUUUACUGGGCGUAAAGCGUGCGUAGGCGGCCAAUUAAGUCAAAUGUGAAAUCCCCGAGCUUAACUUGGGAAUUGCAUUCGAUACUGGUUGGCUAGAGUAUGGGAGAGGAUGGUAGAAUUCCAGGUGUAGCGGUGAAAUGCGUAGAGAUCUGGAGGAAUACCGAUGGCGAAGGCAGCCAUCUGGCCUGUAACUGACGCUGAGUCACGAAAGCGUGGGGAGCAAACAGG
Molecule: ribosomal RNA, 425 nt
Filed under: uncultured bacterium
Lineage: Bacteria
Description: partial 16S ribosomal RNA
Rfam family: Bacterial small subunit ribosomal RNA
Source: RNAcentral